This is a long non-coding RNA of Grammomys surdaster, 200 nucleotides long. RefSeq lists it as uncharacterized. The record is from RefSeq and is a predicted model, not a curated record. The transcript has 3 exons. NCBI's taxonomy places the organism in Eukaryota, Metazoa, Chordata, Mammalia, Rodentia, Muridae.
AGUUACAACAGGCCAUGGAAGAGCGGGCUCCAGCUGGAGACCCAUGUCAGCCAGCUGAUGUAGUCACUGAAGUAGUUCCAGAUGGAGAGAGACCAGUAUGCGGAGAACCUGAAAGGAGAGAGUGCCAUGUGGCAGCAGAGGGUACAGCAAAUGGCAGAGCAGGUGCACACACUGAAGGAAAAGAAGGAGCACAGAGAAAG